This 440-nucleotide ribosomal RNA is filed under the name uncultured bacterium. RNAcentral describes it as "partial 16S ribosomal RNA". It matches the Rfam family "Bacterial small subunit ribosomal RNA", at positions 338 to 795 of the family's 1533-position model. The record is from RNAcentral.
CCUACGGGUGGCAGCAGUGGGGAAUAUUGCACAAUGGGGGAAACUCUGAUGCAGCGACGCCGCGUGAGUGAAGAAGUAAUUCGUUAUGUAAAGCUUUAUCAGCAGGGAAGAAAAUGACGGUACCUGAGUAAGAAGCUCCGUCUAACUACGUGCCAGCAGCCGCGGUAAUACGUAGGGGGCAAGCGUUAUCCGGAUUUACUGGGUGUAAAGGGAGCGUAGACGGCUGUGCAAGUCUGGAGUGAAAGGCGGGGGCUCAACCCCCGGAGUGCACUGGAAACUGUACGGCUGGAGUGCAGGAGAGGUAAGUGGAAUUCGUGGUGUAGCGGUGAAAUGCGUAGAUAUUAGGAAGAACACCAAUGGCGAAGGCAGCUUACUGGACUGUAACUGACGUUGAGGCUCGAAAGCGUGGGGAGCAAACAGGAUUAUAUACCCCAGUAGUC